RNAcentral lists this non-coding RNA (65 nucleotides) under unclassified sequences. The record is from RNAcentral.
AUUCUGGUACGGUCGUACCAGAAAACGGGUACGGGACGGCGGGCACUGCCACCCGGCGUGCCCGU